GGCUCAGGAUGAACGCUAGCGGCAGGCUUAACACAUGCAAGUCGAGGGGCAGCAUGAAGGUUAGCAAUAACCUUUGAUGGCGACCGGCGCAAGGGUGCGUAACGCGUGAGCAACUUGCCCGUUUCAGGGGGAUAACCGUUGGAAACGACGACUAAUACCCCAUGGUGAUGUUAGAGGCAUCUCCUUUCAUCUAAAGAAUUUCGGAAACGGAUAGGCUCGCGUGACAUUAGCUAGAUGGCGGGGUAACGGCCCACCAUGGCGACGAUGUCUAGGGGUUCUGAGAGGAAGGUCCCCCACACUGGAACUGAGACACGGUCCAGACUCCUACGGGAGGCAGCAGUGAGGAAUAUUGGUCAAUGGUCGGAAGACUGAACCAGCCAUGCCGCGUGAAGGUCACGGCCCUAUGGGUCUUAAACUUCUUUUGUAAGGGAGCAAUAAGGUUCACGUGUGGACUGAUGAGAGUACCUUACGAAUAAGCAUCGGCUAACUCCGUG
RNAcentral lists this ribosomal RNA (494 nucleotides) under uncultured bacterium. Its description in RNAcentral is "bacterial SSU rRNA". It matches the Rfam family "Bacterial small subunit ribosomal RNA", at positions 21 to 507 of the family's 1533-position model. The record is from RNAcentral.